AUAAAGUUUUAUUUUGGCUUUUGAAUUAGCUAUGUGAUUUUUUUAUAUGUAAAUUUUCGUGUUGUAAAGAUGUUUAAAUAACUUAUUUUAUUUGCAGUAUUUAAUUUUAAAUUUUAGGUUCUUCUAGAUUUAGAAAUUUGUUUUAGUAUAAACAAAAUUUGUGCCAGCAGUAGCGGUUAUACAAAUUAUGCAGGCUAAUUUUUUUAGGUUUAAUUUAGUGAUAUUUAUAAAUUUUGAAUUGGUUUUCUUAGGUGAAAUUUGAAAGCUUUUUAAAUUUUUUAUUAUGUUCUGAGGUUAGGAAAUUUUUUUUUAGACUAGGAUUAGAUACCCUAUUAUUUUAAAUGUUAAUAUUUAUCCUUGAUUAUUAUUAGUUAUGUUCUAUAAAAUUAAAAAAUUUGGCGGUAUUUUAGUCUAUUCAGAGGAACCUGUUUUUUGAUCGAUAUUCCACGAUAAUUUAUACUUUAACUUUAAAUUUAUAUAUCGUCGUUGUUAAAAAUUUUAGGAAAAUUUUAAUUUUUAUGAUUUUUAAUUUUAUAAUAAUUCAGAUCAAGGUGUAGUUUAUGUUAAAGUUAAAAUGGGUUACAUUAAAUUUAUUUGUGGUUUUUUUAUUUAAAAUUUUAGAUAAAAUGGAUUUGAUAGUAAAUUUUUUUAUUUAUUAAAGUUGAUUUAGCUCUAAAAUAUGUACAUAUCGCCCGUCGCUUUCAUUAUAAGAUGAAAUAAGUCGUAACAAAGUAGGCUUAUUGGAAAAUGUGCCUGGAAUGA
RNAcentral lists this non-coding RNA (762 nucleotides) under Tenebrio obscurus (dark mealworm). The record is from RNAcentral. Lineage: Eukaryota; Metazoa; Arthropoda; Insecta; Coleoptera; Tenebrionidae.